Molecule: long non-coding RNA, 209 nt
Filed under: Setaria viridis
Lineage: Eukaryota; Viridiplantae; Streptophyta; Magnoliopsida; Poales; Poaceae
Description: long non-coding RNA (SVIR_LNC005550)
Source: RNAcentral
CCAGGCACAAAGCUACGACAAAGCAGGGUAUUGCCCGAUGGAUAUGGAUUUUCCAGCUCUCAGAAGUCAAUGCAUACGGUCCGUCCACUAGCAGAAAGCUGCAUCCUUUUCCGCACCACACCCGGACACCGUGAGUGUCCCGAUCAUCCACACGUCGUCGGCCAUCGGUCCGCCCACCAGCGACCGUUUCGUCCCCCACGUCCGAUGGU